ACAAACAGAAUCGCAUUUCUUGAUCUAUCCUCAAUCCACUUGCGUACUUUCUGUCACUGCUCAACUACCACCACCACCCCGCCCACCCCCCUUCACCCUUCCGUCUGUCUCUUGCCAGGAAAACGACAUGGACAAAGGUUUUUCACCCGCUCUCUCUUUUCAGAGUUUUAUUCAGCUCUUCCGUGGCAGUAAAUGUGUGACCGGGCCUUUCUCAGCAUUUCAGGAAAUUCCUCUUUCUGCCAAGGUCAUGCCUAGUAAAGACGCACAUAAAGACACUCACACACACUUCCCCAUACAUACACAACCGCUCAGCUGGUUCUCCACAUCCCCACUGCUGCUUGCUUUUCCUUUUUGGCAUUCAAGGCUGAUCUUUUUUAGCGAACCCGAGAAGCGGUGGGAGCCAGCAGAGGAAGAAUCCUUUUCAUCCGGUCUUUAGGGGAAACGAGCAGGAACAUCACAAAGCGCGACGCUGACAAAAGACUCCACAGGUGGCUGUACUGAUGAUGCCUGCGAUAGCUUGGAAAGAGAGAGCAUCAUAUACAUGAUUACCUGACCCCAACAACACCCAAGGUCUUUCCUGAGGCGCCACCCGCCUUGUCUGGUGAGUGAGCUGGAGUACUGUAGGUCAGUAGCAGCAACAGCAACCAUGCCGGGUAGUGCUGGGGACAACAUGGACCCGAUGCCCUUCUUGACCCCUUCCCCGUAAUCACCUAAGAGUCAAAGUGUUACUCUUUGCAUCUAAAAUCUGAAUGCCAAUUACGUAAGUACUCUACCACCAAGUUCCAAGCCAGCGAUAUGCCCAACCUCACGUUUUUCAACAUGAGAAUCUAUGUAAGAAAAGCCCUCGUAGUAGAAACAGAGGCUACAACGUUGAAUGUUGUACCUUGAAUUCAUCCAUUUUCCCCGUCAGCCGCAUACCUACCUCUGUUGAGCCAAGAUUUAUGUUGACGCUUGUAUUAUUCAUUGGAAUGGCCCUUUGUGCUCGUCCCUCCUUUUAGACCGAAUAUGGUGCGUUCUGUGUGUGACUAUCAACCCAUAAUGGCUGCCCACCUAUGACCCAAAUGUACAAGCGGAAGAAAGGCAACAGAGUUCCUCCCUCUUCUCCAUCUCCCACAAUGGCGCCAUGACACGAUAACAAUAUGAACGCAAGAUAAAUCUUUCCACUAUAAAUGUGACCUACAUCUUGUACAACUGAAUUCUCCUUUUUUUUGGGGGGGGGGGGGUGCGUGAGAUGCUGGUACCUUCUUCAGACACAGCACAGGGACACCAUUCAAAGUCACAUGUUUUUGUGGGUUGGCUACAGGAAGUGUCUGCAUGGCUCCUUCACACCACACCACACUGACUCACUAUUGGCCAUUAAGAAACAAAGCUCUAUUCCGAGAAUCGUUUGUCCAGGUGCAAAAAAUGCCUUCAAGGUUUUCUUGUUUUGGCCUCAUGCUCAUCUUAAAAUUGUAUUUUGUGUUUCACAUGUGCAGCCGUCAUCCAACUCGGAUCUGGGGUGAAGUUGGACAAGAUAAGAUGAAGGGCAGCAUCAUUUCAAGUAUAUGUGAUGAUACGAUGAUUCCGCUGUUCCUGAGUGGUCAAAAUCAGUUAAUGUUGGUUCUCUUCUCCUUUAAAUAUUUGUUCUUUUGUCAUACCUGAUUUAUGUAAAGGAUAUUUGGUUCAAUGUUUUUUUU
Long non-coding RNA from Hippocampus zosterae (dwarf seahorse), 1676 nucleotides. RefSeq lists it as uncharacterized. The transcript has 3 exons. NCBI's taxonomy places the organism in Eukaryota, Metazoa, Chordata, Actinopteri, Syngnathiformes, Syngnathidae. The record is from RefSeq and is a predicted model, not a curated record.